CGAAGAAGGACGUGCUAAUCUGCGAAAAGCUUGGAUGAGUUGAUAAGAAGCGUUUAAUCCAAGAUAUCCGAAUGGGGAAACCCAGUAGAUGAAGAAUCUACUAUCAAUAGAUGAAUACAUAGUCUGUUGAGGCAAACCGGGAGAACUGAAACAUCUAAGUACCCCGAGGAAAAGAAAUCAACCGAGAUUUUGUCAGUAGCGGCGAGCGAA
This 210-nucleotide ribosomal RNA is filed under the name Glaesserella parasuis. Its description in RNAcentral is "partial 23S ribosomal RNA". It matches the Rfam family "Bacterial large subunit ribosomal RNA", at positions 47 to 257 of the family's 2925-position model. Lineage: Bacteria; Pseudomonadati; Pseudomonadota; Gammaproteobacteria; Pasteurellales; Pasteurellaceae. The record is from RNAcentral.